GACGAACGCUGGCGGCGUGCUUAACACAUGCAAGUCGAACGGAAAGGCCUGCUUUCCCUUGUGGAUUGCGGGUACUCGAGUGGCGAACGGGUGAGUAACACGUGAGUGAUCUGCCCCCAACUUGGGUAUAAGCCUGGGAAACUGGGUCUAAUUCCCGAUAGGACUGCAGGGUGGUGCCUGUGGUGGCAAACGAUUUUCUAGUGGUUGGGGAUGAGCUCGCGGCCUAUCAGCUUGUUGGUGGGGUAAUGGCCUACCAAGGCGGCGACGGGUAGCCGGCCUGGGAGGGGGGACGGCCACAUUGGGACUGGGAUACGGCCCAGACUCCUACGGGAGGCAGGAGUGGGGAAUAUUGCACAAUGGGCGGAAGCCUGAUGCAGCGACGCCGCGUGGGGGAUGACGGCCUUCGGGUUGUAAACUCCUUUCGACCGCGAGGAAGCCACCUGGUUGGAAGGGUGGUGACGGUAGUGGUAGAAGAAGCACCGGCUAACUACGUG
RNAcentral lists this ribosomal RNA (494 nucleotides) under uncultured bacterium. Its description in RNAcentral is "partial 16S ribosomal RNA". It matches the Rfam family "Bacterial small subunit ribosomal RNA", at positions 28 to 507 of the family's 1533-position model. The record is from RNAcentral.